Acanthosepion pharaonis is the source of this 114-nucleotide non-coding RNA. NCBI's taxonomy places the organism in Eukaryota, Metazoa, Mollusca, Cephalopoda, Sepiida, Sepiidae. The record is from the annotation of a GenBank genome assembly.
UUACGGCCAUAUCUUGUUGGAACACCGGUUCCCGUACGAUAACCGAAAUUAAACUACGUCGAGUCUGAUCAGUACCUAAAUGCGUGACCCUUUUGAAAUACCAGAUGCUGUAAG